Molecule: ribosomal RNA, 253 nt
Filed under: uncultured bacterium
Lineage: Bacteria
Description: partial 16S ribosomal RNA
Rfam family: Bacterial small subunit ribosomal RNA
Source: RNAcentral
GACGGGGGGGGCAAGUGUUGUUCGGAAUCACUGGGCGUAAAGGGAGCGUAGGCGGGUUUUUAAGUUAGGUGUUUAAUCCCGGGGCCCAACCCCGGACAGGCACCUAAAACUGGAAAUCUUGAAUAGUGGAGAGGUCGGUGGAAUUGGGGGUGUAGCGGUGGAAUGCGUAGAGAUCCCCAAGAACACCAGUUGCGAAGGCGGCCGACUGGACACAUAUUGACGCUGAGGCUCGAAAGCGUGGGGAGCAAACAGG